GUCCACGCCGUAAACGAUGGAUGCUAGCCGUCGGCAAGCUUGCUUGUCGGUGGCGCAGCUAACGCAUUAAGCAUCCCGCCUGGGGAGUACGGCCGCAAGGUUAAAACUCAAAGGAAUUGACGGGGGCCCCGCACAAGCGGUGGAGCAUGUGGUUUAAUUCGACGCAACGCGAAGAACCUUACCAGCUCUUGACAUUCACUGAUCGCCUGGGGAGACCUGGGAGUCCUAGCAAUAGGCAGUGGGACAGGUGCUGCAUGGCUGUCGU
Molecule: ribosomal RNA, 265 nt
Filed under: uncultured bacterium
Lineage: Bacteria
Description: partial 16S ribosomal RNA
Rfam family: Bacterial small subunit ribosomal RNA
Source: RNAcentral